UACGAAGGGGGCUAGCGUUGCUCGGAAUCACUGGGCGUAAAGCGCACGUAGGCGGAUCUUUUAAGUCAGGGGUGAAAUCCUGGAGCUCAACUCCAGAACUGCCUUUGAUACUGAGGAUCUCGAGUCCGGAAGAGGUGAGUGGAACUCCGAGUGUAGAGGUGAAAUUCGUAGAUAUUCGGAAGAACACCAGUGGCGAAGGCGGCUCACUGGGACGGUACUGACGCUGAGACGCGAAAGCGUGGGGAGCGAACAGG
This 254-nucleotide ribosomal RNA is filed under the name uncultured bacterium. RNAcentral describes it as "partial 16S ribosomal RNA". It matches the Rfam family "Bacterial small subunit ribosomal RNA", at positions 524 to 776 of the family's 1533-position model. The record is from RNAcentral.